Molecule: ribosomal RNA, 520 nt
Filed under: uncultured bacterium
Lineage: Bacteria
Description: bacterial SSU rRNA
Rfam family: Bacterial small subunit ribosomal RNA
Source: RNAcentral
GGGAACAUACCCUUUUCUACGGAAUAGCUCUGGGAAACUGGAAUUAAUACCGUAUACGCCCUACGGGGGAAAGAUUUAUCGGGGAAGGAUUGGCCCGCGUUGGAUUAGCUAGUUGGUGGGGUAAAGGCCUACCAAGGCGACGAUCCAUAGCUGGUCUGAGAGGAUGAUCAGCCACAUUGGGACUGAGACACGGCCCAAACUCCUACGGGAGGCAGCAGUGGGGAAUAUUGGACAAUGGGCGCAAGCCUGAUCCAGCCAUGCCGCGUGAGUGAUGAAGGCCUUAGGGUUGUAAAGCUCUUUCACCGAUGAAGAUAAUGACGGUAGUCGGAGAAGAAGCCCCGGCUAACUUCGUGCCAGCAGCCGCGGUAAUACGAAGGGGGCUAGCGUUGUUCGGAAUUACUGGGCGUAAAGCGCACGUAGGCGGAUAUUUAAGUCAGGGGUGAAAUCCCAGAGCUCAACUCUGGAACUGCCUUUGAUACUGGGUAUCUUGAGUAUGGAAGAGGUAAGUGGAAUUGCGAGU